GACGAACGCUGGCGGCGUGCCUAAUACAUGCAAGUAGAACGCUGAAGAGAGGAGCUUGCUCUUCUUGGAUGAGUUGCGAACGGGUGAGUAACGCGUAGGUAACCUGCCUUGUAGCGGGGGAUAACUAUUGGAAACGAUAGCUAAUACCGCAUAACAAUGGAUGACACAUGUCAUUUAUUUGAAAGGGGCAAUUGCUCCACUACAAGAUGGACCUGCGUUGUAUUAGCUAGUAGGUGAGGUAACGGCUCACCUAGGCGACGAUACAUAGCCGACCUGAGAGGGUGAUCGGCCACACUGGGACUGAGACACGGCCCAGACUCCUACGGGAGGCAGCAGUAGGGAAUCUUCGGCAAUGGGGGCAACCCUGACCGAGCAACGCCGCGUGAGUGAAGAAGGUUUUCGGAUCGUAAAGCUCUGUUGUAAGUCAAGAACGAGUGUGAGUGUGGAAAGUUCACACUGUGACGGUAGCUUACCAGAAAGGGACGGCUAACUACGUGCCAGCAGCCGCGGUAAUACGUAGGUCCCGAGCGUUGUCCGGAUUUAUUGGGCGUAAAGCGAGCGCAGGCGGUUUGAUAAGUCUGAAGUUAAAGGCUGUGGCUCAACCAUAGUUCGCUUUGGAAACUGUCAAACUUGAGUGCAGAAGGGGAGAGUGGAAUUCCAUGUGUAGCGGUGAAAUGCGUAGAUAUAUGGAGGAACACCGGUGGCGAAAGCGGCUCUCUGGUCUGUAACUGACGCUGAGGCUCGAAAGCGUGGGGAGCGAACGGGAUUAGAUACCCUGGUAGUCCACGCCGUAAACGAUAAGUGCUAGGUGUUGGAUCCUUUCCGGGAUUCAGUGCCGCAGCUAACGCAUUAAGCACUCCGCCUGGGGAGUACGACCGCAAGGUUGAAACUCAAAGGAAUUGACGGGGGCCCGCACAAGCGGUGGAGCAUGUGGUUUAAUUCGAAGCAACGCGAAGAACCUUACCAGGUCUUGACAUCCCGAUGCUAUUUCUAGAGAUAGAAAGUUACUUCGGUACAUCGGUGACAGGUGGUGCAUGGUUGUCGUCAGCUCGUGUCGUGAGAUGUUGGGUUAAGUCCCGCAACGAGCGCAACCCCUAUUGUUAGUUGCCAUCAUUCAGUUGGGCACUCUAGCGAGACUGCCGGUAAUAAACCGGAGGAAGGUGGGGAUGACGUCAAAUCAUCAUGCCCCUUAUGACCUGGGCUACACACGUGCUACAAUGGUUGGUACAACGAGUUGCGAGUCGGUGACGGCAAGCUAAUCUCUUAAAGCCAAUCUCAGUUCGGAUUGUAGGCUGCAACUCGCCUACAUGAAGUCGGAAUCGCUAGUAAUCGCGGAUCAGCACGCCGCGGUGAAUACGUUCCCGGGCCU
RNAcentral lists this ribosomal RNA (1369 nucleotides) under uncultured bacterium. Its description in RNAcentral is "bacterial SSU rRNA". It matches the Rfam family "Bacterial small subunit ribosomal RNA", at positions 28 to 1381 of the family's 1533-position model. The record is from RNAcentral.